Molecule: ribosomal RNA, 392 nt
Filed under: Pseudomonas fluorescens
Lineage: Bacteria; Pseudomonadati; Pseudomonadota; Gammaproteobacteria; Pseudomonadales; Pseudomonadaceae
Description: bacterial SSU rRNA
Rfam family: Bacterial small subunit ribosomal RNA
Source: RNAcentral
AUCAUGAAUUUCAAAUCGAUGGUUCCUUCGGGAGCAUUGAGACAGGUGCUGCAUGUNUGUCGUCAGCUCGUGUCGUGAGAUGUUGGGUUAAGUCCCGUAACGAGCGCCAACCUUGGUUCUUUAGUUUACCAGCACGUUAUGGUGGGCACUCUAAGGGAGACUGCCGGUGACAAACCGGAGGAAGGUGGGGAUGACGUCAAGUCAUCAUGGCCCUUACGGCCUGGGCUACACACGUGCUACAAUGGUCGGUACAGAGGGUUGCCAAGCCGCGAGGUGGAGCUAAUCCCACAAAACCGAUCGUAGUCCGGAUCGCAGUCUGCAACUCGACUGCGUGAAGUCGGAAUCGCUAGUAAUCGCGAAUCAAAUGUCGCGGUGAAUACGUUCCCGGGUCU